GUGUUGUAUGAAAGCAAAGAAGGUGAACACUCCCCUUCACAAGGAUAGAAGAGUCCUCAGGCCUGACAACAAGUCUGACAGCAGGGCACUGCAGCUACAGCCCUGCCCAGCUUCUUCC
Molecule: small nuclear RNA, 118 nt
Organism: Nomascus leucogenys (northern white-cheeked gibbon)
Lineage: Eukaryota; Metazoa; Chordata; Mammalia; Primates; Hylobatidae
Source: Rfam